ACUCCUACGGGUGGCUGCAGUGGGGAAUAUUGGACAAUGGGUGGAAGCCUGAUCCAGCCAUCCCGCGUGCAGGAAGACGGCCCUAUGGGUUGUAAACUGCUUUUGUAUAGGGAUAGAUCAUCUUACGAGAUAGGAUGUUGAAGGUACUAUACGAAUAAGCAUCGGCUAACUCCGUGCCAGCAGCCGCGGUAAUACGGAGGAUGCGAGCGUUAUCCGGAUUCAUUGGGUUUAAAGGGUCCGUAGGCGGGCUAAUAAGUCAGUGGUGAAAUCUCACAGUUCAACUGUGAAAUUGCCAUUGAUACUGUUAGUCUUGAGUGAGUUUGAUGUUGCUGGAAUGUGUAGUGUAGCGGUGAGAUGCAUAGAUAUUACACGGAACACCGAAUGCGAAGGCAGGUAACAAAGACUUAACUGACGCUGAUGGACGAAGGCGUGGGGAGCGAACAGGAUUAGAUACCCUGGUAGUCCACGCAGUAAACGAUGCUAACUCGUUUUCGGGGUGAAGAACUUCGGAGACCAAGCGAAAGUGAUAAGUUAGCCACCUGGGGAGUACGUUCGCAAGAAUGAAACUCAAAGGAAUUGACGGGGGCCCGCACAAGCGGUGGAGCAUGUGGUUUAAUUCGAUGAUACGCGAGGAACCUUACCAAGGCUUAAAUGCAUUUUGACGUACCCUGAAAGGGGUAUUUCUUCGGACAGGAUGCAAGGUGAUGCAUGGAUGUCGUCAGCUCGUG
This 728-nucleotide ribosomal RNA is filed under the name uncultured bacterium. RNAcentral's name for it is "bacterial SSU rRNA". It matches the Rfam family "Bacterial small subunit ribosomal RNA", at positions 335 to 1064 of the family's 1533-position model. The record is from RNAcentral.